GAAACCCAAAUUAAGUCCCUCAGGUAUGCAAAGUACCUUAAGGCACUGCCUAGAACUUUUCCAUCUUAGCACAUAUUAAUUUAAUUUUAAGUAAGCUAAUAGAUACUCAUCUAAAAAUAAAAUCCUCCAUAAGCUCACUAAACUGGCAUUUGAUUUCCUUAUUUGUUUAAGAGCUAUCCCAGUGUCCAUAAUGCAACUUUUUCUGGGCUUAUUUCAAUACCAGAAAGUCUGUAAUGCAGUUGAUAAAGUAUUCCAACCUCAGAAGAGGAAUCCAUAAAACCGACAUAGUGGUUCAUGGUUGCUUUACCUGAUAUCUGGACUUCAUGCCUAGUGCAAAGAAAGAGGUAUAUCUGAGAGCAGGUCACAAUUCUGUUCUGCUCCAGUGAGGACUUCACGGUAGAUGGUGUCACAAUGGUGGAGCACGUGUGCAAGAGUCAACAUGGUGAGGUGAGAAACCAUGGGAGGGGCCUGUCUUGCUCCUGCUAUAACAACCUAUUGUCUUAUGGUACCUGACUUAGGUUCUAAUAAGAAAUAUCUUCAUCCCUCCCAAAGGUGGUACCCCUAAGGACCACAACAGACCUGAACAUCAUUGCACUAGAGACUGAGCUCCCAGGUUAGGAAGCUUCACGGGACAUGCUUAAACCCCAUCCAGACUGCAGUGGCCCUCAACUUGCCUCCAGAGUGUGGUGUAUUGGAAAGAGUUUUCCCAAGAGCUCAUUAUCAUCGUCUCCGUUCUACUGAUGAAGAUGACGCUAAGGGAGCUGAAGUAUCUUGUGCCACGGUUACCUACCUAGCAGCUCUGCAAUACCUGGUCCCCAAACAGUGCACCCGGAAAGAGUUGUAUGCACGCCUCGCCAUCAGGAGGAAAGAACUCGGCAGCAGUGGCAUCAGGCUUGGUCAAUGGGUGCUAACUUCGGACAAGAACAGUUACGUCUUUAUGUCGACAUCAGGAGCACACACUGUGGUAAAAGAGGAGCAACCACACCAGGGAGGUGUACGGGAUGAGUGAGGAAGGAAUCUUACUGUUGGGAGUUGCUUACACAGAAUUGUGGUAUCGUUUACACAGAACUGGUGUCUUAUAACUGUAUAUUGGUUACAAGGUCCCUCAGGGAUGGUACCAGAGUGGGAAGUAACAUGUGGUAGGGAGUGACAGCACCAGACUUUUCUCAACACUAUUCAAUGGAUGGGAUGCAAAGCUCAGAUUCCUGCCUCCCACCGAGGCAGCCCACAUUCGUGCAGCCCUGCUUGGGGUACCUUUCCCGACUACGUUUUCUUACUAGCCUUCCCAUAGUUCCUGCUCCUGCCCCAGUGUUCUAUUUCUCUAUUCCUGGAGUACAAGGGCUGGCUAUUAGUCACACCUGUUGACAAUAACCUUGAGAGAGCAGAACUCUCUGACCUAAUUCUGGGUGGGACCAUUGUUAGAGGUAGAAACAAAAUAACUUUGAAGGAACUGGAGGUAAGUUCCAACUCUCUGACCGCUGGUCAACGUGGAAAUAGGCUCAUUUUGGGGCCUCCACACUACCUCCCUUCUUCUGUUUUUGAGGCUCUUGGAUGUGCCACACAAACAAGAGAAAAAUAAGCUCAGUGCUUUCACACCGAGAAAUGACAGAGACCAGCUAUGCGUAUCACCUGACCAGGAGCUACCUGCUGGUUAGGUGAAUGGAAGGAGAUGCUGGUAUUCCAGACAGAAGCAGCUUCCAGCAAAUGGAUUGGAAACAAGGAAGCAACUCUAAGCUAAAGCUUCAGCUCUGGAAAAUAAAAUUCAUUUUGGGUCUCAAAGCCCCAGCCUGUUCUGUUGUCUGGCCAUCAUCAGAGUUCAGCCCAGUGCAGCUGAGAGAGGCACAAAGCCUGAAGAAGUCCCUAACGCAUCAGAAGAACUGCGCUGCCCUCUUCUCCCCCUUCUUUUCAUCCACCUGGAGGAAAUAUUGUUAGCUGAAAUGGGCACCAGGAGAACCGAGAUGGCUAUUAGACAGGUCUCCCGGCUUCCCUGGGACAGUAACAUAAACUGUGACAAGUCUGUACAUCCAACUACCUUGCCCAACUAUUCCCACCAGACUGGCUUCCCGCUCCAAAAGAUUGCCAGCAGGCAGAUCAGGACAAAGACACACCCCUCUCUUCACUGCAUAUCUUUGAGACAUGGUCCUUCACUGAAUCUGGAGCUCAAGACCUUUGUGGUACCCAGGCAUUCAGCAAGUCCCAGGGUCACACAAGGCUACCAGCUGCUUCUGAGCAUGCUCAGAAGCGUCUCCAUGUGGCACACACCAUGGCCAAUAUGUCUGUCUCCCUCUCUGAAUAUACAAGGGCAAGUAGUCUGAUCCAACACUGCCACAAGGAUCAAGUUUGAAAUGUGGUCUGCUGCUUAGCUCUGAAAGUGUCAAUCAAUGUACCAUGAAAUUGGAGGAGAACGGCAAAUGGUUCCAGCUCUUCAUACUGAUCCCUGAGGAUUACAUUUCAACAUGACCUUUGGAGGAGCCAUAAACAUUCAAUGCACAACAGGGAGGAAACUGGACUCUCUCUCCUAUGGAAUCAAUGUUGUAAGAAUACAGCCAUGGCUAGGUAAGAUGUUUGAUGACCAUACCCAAUCAAGAGUCCAUGAAGCCCAGCUCCUAGAUAUUCCCACCAAAUUACCAGAGAUGGGGACUUCUCUCCAUCUACAACAGUCUAUCCAAUGGUUAUCAUCAAGUUCAAU
Arvicola amphibius (Eurasian water vole) is the source of this 2689-nucleotide long non-coding RNA. RefSeq lists it as uncharacterized. NCBI's taxonomy places the organism in Eukaryota, Metazoa, Chordata, Mammalia, Rodentia, Cricetidae. The transcript is spliced from 9 exons. The record is from RefSeq and is a predicted model, not a curated record.